RNAcentral lists this long non-coding RNA (203 nucleotides) under Elaeis guineensis (African oil palm). RNAcentral's name for it is "long non-coding RNA (EGUI_LNC021319)". The record is from RNAcentral. Lineage: Eukaryota; Viridiplantae; Streptophyta; Magnoliopsida; Arecales; Arecaceae.
UAAUAUCUUAAAGGUCUUCACGUGGCUCAUGGGGAGUUCUAAUUGGUUCAUGCGGGCAUUGGACUAUGGGUUUUGGCAUGGUCCGAGUUGAGUGGGUGGGGUGAUGUGGGACCAAACAGGUGCAAGUGUGCGGCUUCAAAUGAGUGCUUCAUGCGAAAAUUCAAAUGGGUGAGCACAGCGAGAUGCUAUUGGUUCACAUGGGC